Long non-coding RNA from Physeter macrocephalus (sperm whale), 554 nucleotides. RefSeq lists it as uncharacterized. Lineage: Eukaryota; Metazoa; Chordata; Mammalia; Artiodactyla; Physeteridae. The record is from RefSeq and is a predicted model, not a curated record. The transcript has 3 exons.
UCAUAAGGUCUGGUCCAGUAAGGAUGGAGCUUGUCUUGUUUACUUUCUGAGAUUUCAGCAGGACUCAACCUCCAGGACAGAAGUGGUGCAGGGGAACAGCUGUGGGAAACAUAACCUGCUAGGUGAAACAUGUAUAGCAGUUAGAGUAGCUCCCAAUGAUUGUACAUAUCCAACAGUGUCUGGUUUCUUGAUUCAAGUUCCCUCCUGGUCUCCUAAACCAUUUCUGAAAAAUAGGAAGGGUCUCCCAUACAACAUUCCAUAAGGGCUCACUCAGAGCUUGCUUCUAGGGGCUACCCUCACUCGAAGCAGGGCAACUGGUAGGGCCUUAUUCCAGGGGAUUAUAGCUAAAAGUUGUCAAGAGACUAGUCUUUUUAAGAUUAUGAUUCAUCUUUUUUUUUGCCAGUAGAUUAGAAAUUACAUGCUUCAUGGCAACCCCAACGAAGGUUUCAGGCUCCAGAUGCUUGAGUUACUAUAAAGGCCCCUCCACUGACACUCUGAAUGGACAGGAGGGGAAGUACACAGUGAGGGGCAUGCACAGUGCGCCGUGACAGUGC